Molecule: ribosomal RNA, 460 nt
Filed under: uncultured bacterium
Lineage: Bacteria
Description: partial 16S ribosomal RNA
Rfam family: Bacterial small subunit ribosomal RNA
Source: RNAcentral
CCUACGGGUGGCAGCAGUGAGGAAUAUUGGUCAAUGGGCGCGAGCCUGAACGAGCCAAGUAGCGUGAAGGAUGACUGCCCUACGGGUUGUAAACUUCUUUUAUAAAGGAAUAAAAUGAGGCAAGUAUGCCUUUUUGUAUGGACUUUAUGAAUAAGGAUCGGCUAACUCCGUGCAAGCAGCCGCGGUAAGACGGAGGAUCGGAGCGUGAUCCGGAUUUAUUGGGGUCAAAGGGAGCGUAGAUGGGUUGUUAAGUUAGUUGUGAAAGUUUGCGGCUCAACCGUAAAAUUGCAAUUGAUACUGGCAGUCUUGAGUACAGUUGAGGUAGGCGGAAUUCGUGGUGUAGCGGUGAAAUGCUUAGAUAUCACGAAGAACUCCGAUUGCGAAGGCAGCUUACUAAACUGCCACUGACAUUGAUGCUCGAAAGUGUGGGUAUCAAACAGGAUUAGAUACCCGGGUAGUC